CAAACUCAACCAAACAGAGAAAUACCAAAACUUAAUUGUAGAGGGAUAAAGAGGAUGUACUUGAUUGCAGGUAGGCGAGGAGAAGAACAGCAGUUAUCCGCAAUAUUUAGAGGUUGUAAAAGUUAUGAUGCUGACACUCAUGAAGCUGGAAUCAGAUUGAUAAGUGUGUCAUAGAAGCACGUAGAAUUGGGAAACAGAUCUAGCCAACCCAAUCUUGUAAUAUACAACUACAAUAUCUUCAUACAAUAUGUAUUGUAACUGAAAACUGAAAA
This 272-nucleotide unclassified non-coding RNA is filed under the name Hevea brasiliensis (rubber tree). The record is from RNAcentral. Lineage: Eukaryota; Viridiplantae; Streptophyta; Magnoliopsida; Malpighiales; Euphorbiaceae.